Molecule: long non-coding RNA, 1337 nt
Filed under: Chloebia gouldiae (Gouldian finch)
Lineage: Eukaryota; Metazoa; Chordata; Aves; Passeriformes; Passeridae
Description: Erythrura gouldiae (Gouldian finch) lncRNA (ENSEGOG00005009454.1)
Source: RNAcentral
GGGGGAAGCUGGGGGGUCAGCAGGGAGGAUACUGGGGAUACUGGGGGGAUAUUGGGAGAUACCGAGCAGCAAUCACGGAGGAUGCUGAAGGGAAGCCUGAGGCGCACGUGGGGACACUGGGGGAUGAGCGAGGGAUACUGGGAGGUACUGGGAGGACUUCGGGGGCAUGGAGGGAGCUUGUGGGGCACCCCAAAACCCCCCACACCCCCUUGCGGGCGGCCCUGGGCAGCGGCACUGCCCGCACCGUGCCCAGGAACCGCAGCGGAACCGAGCCCGGGACACGCACCGGGACCCGGCCCCGCCACCCCGGAACCGGGACCCGGCCCCGCCACACCGGAGCCGGGACCCGGCCCCGCCACACCGGAGCCCGCGGAGCCGGACAGCCGUGAGGACCCCGCGGACAGCCCCGGGGCUCACAGGUACCGGGGGACGCGGGGGUCCCGGCGCGGAGCCCCCCACCCCGGGUCCCCCGUGCCCACCGCCGCCGUGCCCGCCCCGCAGCUCCCGGGAGAUGGAGGAGAGAGCUCUGCGGGAACUCAUCCGGCGGCUCCGCGCCGAGCAGGCGGCGGUGGAGGGGUCCCUGCUGGACGCCCCCGAGCCCUCGGAGCCCCCCCGGGAGCGGGACCCCCGAGGCCGGGCGGAGCGGGCGCUGCGGGAAGCGCGGGCGCUGCUGCCCGGCUGGAGGCGGCCCGAGAAGGAGGAGCUGCUGCAGGAGCUGGCCGUGCUCAAGGAGGCACUGGCGGAGCUGCGGACGCGGCUGCAGCUGGCCCAGAAGGAGAAGCGAGCCCUGGAGCUGCUCCUGGCCGGGCACGGACCCCGCCAGGCCGCGCUGCGCCUCCUGCUGCAGCACCGGCAGCGGGAACGGCGGUGGGACCGGGACCGGGACCGGGACCGGGAACGGGACGGAGAACGGGAGCGGGACGGAGCCUCUGGCAGCUCCGGCAGCAGCUCCGACAGCAGCUCCGGCAGCAGCUCCGGCAGCUCCGAGCAGGUAGGGAUGGGUGCCACGGGGCCGUUCCCGGGGUUCGGGGGAUCCCGAGGCACGGGAGACACCCCGGGAAUCUCGGCAGGACGCGCGGAUGGGUCGGGGGGCGGCGAUGGCUCCGCAGAACCCCCCGGACCCCGAGAGAACCAGGGAGGAGCUGCUCCGGAUCCGGGCCAGGUGAGGGACGGGAGCGGCGUGGGACCGGGAAUUCUGUGGGAUCAGGAAUUAUGUGGGAUUGGGAAUUAUGUGGGAUUAGGAACUGUGUGGGAUUGAGAACUGUGUGGGGAUGGGAAUGGUGCUGGGAUCGGGAAUGGUGCUGGAAUCGGGAAUGGUGCUGGGAGCGGGAAUGGUG